CACACACAUCAUCCAGCACUCACACUCUCACACACCCAUCAUCCAGCACUCACACACACACACACACAUCAUCCAGCACUCACACACACACACACACAUCAUCCAGCACUCUCACACACACACAUCAUCCAGCACUCACACACACAUCAUCCAGCACUCACACACACACACAUCAUCCAGCACUCACUCACACACCCAUCAUCCAGCACUCACACACACACACAUCAUCCAGCACUCACACACACACAUCAUCCAGCACUCACACACACAUCAUCCAGCACUCACACAC
Pelobates cultripes (western spadefoot toad) is the source of this 289-nucleotide non-coding RNA. Lineage: Eukaryota; Metazoa; Chordata; Amphibia; Anura; Pelobatidae. The record is from the annotation of a GenBank genome assembly.